Molecule: ribosomal RNA, 495 nt
Filed under: uncultured bacterium
Lineage: Bacteria
Description: partial 16S ribosomal RNA
Rfam family: Bacterial small subunit ribosomal RNA
Source: RNAcentral
GAUGAACGCUGGCGGCGUGCCUAAUACAUGCAAGUAGAACGCUGAAGGAGGAGCUUGCUCUUCUGGAUGAGUUGCGAACGGGUGAGUAACGCGUAGGUAACCUGCCUGGUAGCGGGGGAUAACUAUUGGAAACGAUAGCUAAUACCGCAUGACAACAGUUAUUGCAUGAUAACUGUUUAAAAGGGGCAACUGCUCCACUACCAGAUGGACCUGCGUUGUAUUAGCUAGUUGGUGAGGUAACGGCUCACCAAGGCGACGAUACAUAGCCGACCUGAGAGGGUGAUCGGCCACACUGGGACGGAGACACGGCCCAGACUCCUACGGGAGGCAGCAGUAGGGAAUCUUCGGCAAGGGACGGAAGUCUGACCGAGCAACGCCGCGUGAGUGAAGAAGGUUUUCGGAUCGUAAAGCUCUGUUGUAAGAGAAGAACGAGUGUGAGAGUGGAAAGUUCACACUGUGACGGUAGCUUACCAGAAAGGGACGGCUAACUACGUG